GCUCUGAUACGAGAGCUCCGGACUUUUAAUCCGUAGGUUGUGGGUUCGAGUCCCAC
This 56-nucleotide transfer RNA is filed under the name Actinomadura viridis. It matches the Rfam family "tRNA", at positions 10 to 63 of the family's 71-position model. From Rfam's summary of the family: Transfer RNA (tRNA) molecules are approximately 80 nucleotides in length. The record is from Rfam by way of RNAcentral. Lineage: Bacteria; Bacillati; Actinomycetota; Actinomycetes; Streptosporangiales; Thermomonosporaceae.